This is a long non-coding RNA of Lactuca sativa (garden lettuce), 1103 nucleotides long. RefSeq lists it as uncharacterized. Lineage: Eukaryota; Viridiplantae; Streptophyta; Magnoliopsida; Asterales; Asteraceae. The record is from RefSeq and is a predicted model, not a curated record.
CGAACGUAGAGAGAAAAAAGCAACAGCUUGCUGACUGGCUGAUUCGUUGAGGGACAAAAAGAAUUUUUAGAAAAAGACAGGGGAAAAGAUGUUUGGUAAAAAUAUUUUAAAAGCAACUUUUAGGAAUUUGAUAUAAGAAAAAUUGAGUUUUUGGAAAAGUAAGUAAUUCCAAGGUUUUUGUGACUUUUCCUAAAAUCCUUUUGCCUCUGAAAAGAUUAGGCAAACACCCCCGAAAGCAAAGAACGAAGGAAGACGAAAGCUCGCAGGCGCGCUUCGUCGGUUGAUUCGCGAGAGGGAGGAGUCUCUGGGUCGUAGAGACCGAAGGAAAGGAAUUAAGGGGGAGGUUUCGGGGCUGCCGGGUCGUGGGUGAGAAGGCGAAACACCCUCGUUGUUUGAGUGAACCGAAGAAGGGAAGAAGAACGAGGCAGUGAGGCUCGACAGGAAGACGAAGUGAAGUGCCAGAGGGAAGGGUCUCCGUUCUUUGAUCGGUCGUGUAGAAGAACUAGGGUAGAAGUCAAAACUGGUCUUCGAGUUCUUGACUGAUUGAAGGGAAGAAGAUGAACGGAAGCAGCCAUAUCAAGAUAUCGAUGGAUAGUGGCUAACAGGGAAGAAGAUGAAGCAAAAAUGUGCUGAAAUUAGUGGUAAAGAAGAAUGAUCGAAAGAGGACUGUUGUUCUCUUGGUUUCAGCUUCCAUUAAGAAAAAAAAUUACAAACACGUUUUCUUUUGUGUGUAAGCUCUUUUGUUCUUGUUUUGAGAGAAAUCGAUGGAGGGUGACAAGAUUGUUUCGUUUGGUGUUUGAUUUUUGACAGGGGAAAGAACGAGGGGGAGGAGGAGGGAUGUACAGUCGCUUCUUCUUUGGCCGAAGAUCCAUAGACGCAAAGGAAAGAUAUCUUCUUUUUAAAUAGAUUUCAAUGUACUUUUAUUUGAGUUUGAAGAUCAAAGAAGAUCUGAUCGUAUCACUUUAUUUUACAUGAUUUUGAUUGUACAGAAUUUGGCUGUGAAGGGAAAGAGUGUUUGUGUGUAAAAUUGGAUGAGAAAGAGUGUAAGGAAAUUUCAGUGUGAUUUUUGUAAAAGAUGAAAAGUGGAAGAAACUAUUUACUUA